Molecule: ribosomal RNA, 305 nt
Filed under: uncultured bacterium
Lineage: Bacteria
Description: bacterial SSU rRNA
Rfam family: Bacterial small subunit ribosomal RNA
Source: RNAcentral
UUCCCUACGGGGCGCAGCAGUGGGGAAUAUUGCACAAUGGGGGAAACCCUGAUGCAGCGACGCCGCGUGGGUGAAGAAGUACUUCGGUACGUAAAGCCCUAUCAGCAGGGAAGAAAAUGACGGUACCUGAUUAAGAAGCCCCGGCUAACUACGUGCCAGCAGCCGCGGUAAUACGUAGGGGGCAAGCGUUAUCCGGAUUUACUGGGUGUAAAGGGAGCGUAGACGGCGGCGCAAGUCCGGAGUGAAAGCCCACGGCCCAACCGUGGGACUGCUCUGGAAACUGUGCGGCUUGAGUGCGGGAGGGG